UACGUAGGGGGCGAGCGUUGUCCGGAUUUAUUGGGCGUAAAACGCUUGUAGGUGGCCACGCCAAGUCGGAUGUGAAAUCUCCCGGCUUAACUGGGAGCGGUCAUUCGAUACUGGCGGGCUCGAGGCAGGUAGGGGGAAGCGGAAUUCCCGGUGUAGUGGUGGAAUGCGUAGAUAUCGGGAGGAACACCAGUGGCGAAGGCGGCUUCCUGGACCUGUUCUGACACUGAGGAGCGAAAGCGUGGGGAGCGAUCCGG
RNAcentral lists this ribosomal RNA (254 nucleotides) under uncultured bacterium. Its description in RNAcentral is "partial 16S ribosomal RNA". It matches the Rfam family "Bacterial small subunit ribosomal RNA", at positions 524 to 776 of the family's 1533-position model. The record is from RNAcentral.